CGUAGGUGGCAAGCGUUGUCCGGAUUUAUUGGGUUUAAAGGGUGCGUAGGCGGUCCCAUAAGUCAGUGGUGAAAUACGGCAGCUCAACUGUCGAGGUGCCAUUGAUACUGCGGGACUUGAGUACUGAUGAGGAAGGCGGAAUUGACGGUGUAGCGGUGAAAUGCUUAGAUAUCGUCAAGAACACCGAUAGCGAAGGCAGCUUUCCAAGGAGUAACUGACGCUGAGGCACGAAAGUGCGGGGAUCAAACAGGAUUAGAUACCCUGGUAGUCCGCACAGUAAACGAUGAUUACUCGAUGUUGGCGAUACACAGCCAGCGUCUUAGCGAAAGCGAUAAGUAAUCCACCUGGGGAGUACGCCCGCAAGGGUG
This 368-nucleotide ribosomal RNA is filed under the name uncultured organism. Its description in RNAcentral is "bacterial SSU rRNA". It matches the Rfam family "Bacterial small subunit ribosomal RNA", at positions 526 to 896 of the family's 1533-position model. The record is from RNAcentral.